CCAAAGGACUAUAUCUGCCGUGAUUCGCACAACGAAUGCGAUCUGCCAGAAUAUUGUGAUGGUGAAAUUGGUCACUGCCCAGCUGAUGUGUUUAGAAAGAAUGGAUCACCGUGUGGACAUACUAAAGCAGGAACAUCGGGUUACUGCUUUCAAGGUGACUGUCCCACCUUGAAUCUGCAAUGCGAAGCCAUCUGGGGCUAUGGUGGCUCGGCGGCCGAUCGGCAAUGCUAUGAGCAAUUCAAUUCAAAGGGUUCAAUCAAUGGCCAUUGUGGGCGUGACGCAAAUGAACAUUACAUCAAAUGCGAGCCAGAAAAUGUUCAAUGUGGCACACUGCAAUGCAAGGAGGGCGAACGGCAGCCAGUCAAUGAUGGCAUUGAUCAACUUUAUUCGAAUACAAUAAUCUCAAUAAAAGGAUUGGAGUAUGAAUGCAAAGCCACCAGCGGUCAAGUGGGCACCAAUGAAUAUCCAGAACAUGGCUUGGUGAAGGAUGGUACGCCAUGCGGUAAAGAUUUGAUUUGUCUGAAUCAGACUUGCGUCAGCAUUUUUUCCACACAUCGA
This is a long non-coding RNA of Rhagoletis pomonella (apple maggot), 558 nucleotides long. RefSeq lists it as uncharacterized. The record is from RefSeq and is a predicted model, not a curated record. NCBI's taxonomy places the organism in Eukaryota, Metazoa, Arthropoda, Insecta, Diptera, Tephritidae. The transcript is spliced from 4 exons.